AACCCGUAGAUUCGAACUUGGG
Molecule: microRNA, 22 nt
Filed under: Petromyzon marinus (sea lamprey)
Lineage: Eukaryota; Metazoa; Chordata; Hyperoartia; Petromyzontiformes; Petromyzontidae
Description: pma-miR-100b
Gene: pma-miR-100b
Source: miRBase by way of RNAcentral